CCGCUGAAAGCUGAGGCCCGAAGGACUAAGACACCCAGCCUCCCUGAAGAGAAAAGGAGGGAUGGAUGGAAAUUGAGGCGAGAGAGAGACUGCUUUUCAAU
Long non-coding RNA from Pteropus alecto (black flying fox), 101 nucleotides. RefSeq lists it as uncharacterized. The transcript is spliced from 3 exons. The record is from RefSeq and is a predicted model, not a curated record. Lineage: Eukaryota; Metazoa; Chordata; Mammalia; Chiroptera; Pteropodidae.